Molecule: ribosomal RNA, 1362 nt
Filed under: uncultured bacterium
Lineage: Bacteria
Description: bacterial SSU rRNA
Rfam family: Bacterial small subunit ribosomal RNA
Source: RNAcentral
AGAGUUUGAUCAUGGCUCAGAUUGAACGCUGGCGGUAUGCUUAAGACAUGCAAGUCGUGCGGUAGAAGGCUUCGGCCUUUGAGAGCGGCGGACGGGUGAGUAACACGUGGGAAUCUGCCUAUUAGUGGGGGACAGCCCAGCGAAAGCUGGAUUAAUACCGCAUACGCCCUACGGGGGAAAGCAGCAAUGCGCUAAUAGAUGAGCCCGCGUAAGAUUAGCUAGUUGGUAAGGUAAAGGCUUACCAAGGCGACGAUCUUUAGCUGGUCUGAGAGGAUGGCCAGCCACAUCGGGACUGAGACACGGCCCGGACUCCUACGGGAGGCAGCAGUCGGGAAUAUUGGACAAUGGGCGCAAGCCUGAUCCAGCAAUACCGCGUGUGUGAAGAAGGCCUGCGGGUUGUAAAGCACUUUCAGUUGGGAAGAUAAUGACGUUACCAACAGAAGAAGCACCGGCUAACUCCGUGCCAGCAGCCGCGGUAAUACGGAGGGUGCAAGCGUUAAUCGGAAUUACUGGGCGUAAAGCGUGCGUAGGCGGCCUGUUAAGUCAGAUGUGAAAGCCCCGGGCUUAACCUGGGAACUGCAUCUGAUACUGGGAGGCUAGAAUGUGGGAGAGGAGAGUGGAAUUUCCGGUGUAGCGGUGAAAUGCAUAGAGAUCGGAAGGAACACCAGUGGCGAAGGCGGCUCUCUGGACCAACAUUGACGCUGAGGCACGAAAGCGUGGGUAGCAAACAGGAUUAGAUACCCUGGUAGUCCACGCCGUAAACGAUGUCAACUAGCCGCCGGCCUCACUCUAGAGGUCGGUGGUGCAGCUAACGCAUUAAGUUGACCGCCUGGGGAGUACGGCCGCAAGGUUGAAACUCAAAGGAAUUGACGGGGGCCCGCACAAGCGGUGGAGCAUGUGGUUUAAUUCGAUGCAACGCGAAGAACCUUACCUGGUCUUGACAUGUAGUGAACUUAGCAGAAAUGUUUUGGUGCCUUCGGGAACACUAACACAGGUGCUGCACGGCUGUCGUCAGCUCGUGUCGUGAGAUGUUGGGUUAAGUCCCGCAACGAGCGCAACCCUCGUCCUUAGUUGCCAGCGGUUCGGCCGGGAACUCUAAGGAGACUGCCUGCGUAAGCGGGAGGAAGGUGGGGAUGAUGUCAGGUCAUCACGGCCCUUAUGCCUUGGGCAACACACGUGCUACAAUGGGAUAUACAGAAAGUCGCAAUACCGCGAGGUGGAACCAAUCUCUAAAAUAUCUCUCAGUUCGGAUUGUAGUCUGCAACUCGACUUCGUGAAGUUGGAUUCGCUAGUAAUCGUAUAUCAGCAAUGAUACGGUGAAUACGUUCCCGGGCCUUGUACACACCGCCCGUCAAGCCAUGG